RNAcentral lists this ribosomal RNA (425 nucleotides) under uncultured bacterium. RNAcentral describes it as "partial 16S ribosomal RNA". It matches the Rfam family "Bacterial small subunit ribosomal RNA", at positions 354 to 796 of the family's 1533-position model. The record is from RNAcentral.
GUGGGGAAUCUUGCGCAAUGGGCGAAAGCCUGACGCAGCCAUGCCGCGUGAAUGAUGAAGGUCUUAGGAUUGUAAAAUUCUUUCACCGGGGACGAUAAUGACGGUACCCGGAGAAGAAGCCCCGGCUAACUUCGUGCCAGCAGCCGCGGUAAUACGAAGGGGGCUAGCGUUGCUCGGAAUUACUGGGCGUAAAGGGCGCGUAGGCGGACAGUUUAGUCAGAGGUGAAAGCCCAGGGCUCAACCUUGGAAUUGCCUUUGAUACUGGCUGUCUUGAGUACGGGAGAGGUGAGGAGAACUCCGAGUGUAGAGGUGAAAUUCGUAGAUAUUCGGAAGAACACCAGUGGCGAAGGCGACUCACUGGCCCAAUACUGACGCUGAGGCGCGAAAGCGUGGGGAGCAAACAGGAUUAGAUACCCCAGUAGUCC